GCAUCCGUAGCUCAGCUGGAUAGAGUACUCGGCUACGAACCUAGCGGUCGGAGGUUCGAAUCCUCCCGGAUGCACCA
RNAcentral lists this transfer RNA (77 nucleotides) under Escherichia coli. Its description in RNAcentral is "tRNA-Arg". It matches the Rfam family "tRNA". From Rfam's summary of the family: Transfer RNA (tRNA) molecules are approximately 80 nucleotides in length. The record is from RNAcentral. RNAcentral also lists the same sequence under 2 other names. Lineage: Bacteria; Pseudomonadati; Pseudomonadota; Gammaproteobacteria; Enterobacterales; Enterobacteriaceae.